AGCAAUUAUACAGCGAAACUGCGAAUGGCUCAUUAUAUAAGUUAUCGUUUAUUUGAUAGUACCUUACUACUUGGAUAACCGUGGUAAUUCUAGAGCUAAUACAUGCUAAAAAUCCCGACUUCGGAAGGGAUGUAUUUAUUAGAUUAAAAACCAAUGCCCUCUGGGCUCUUUGGUGAUUCAUGAUAACUUCUCGAAUCGCACGGCCUUGCGCCGGCGAUGGUUCAUUCAAAUUUCUUCCCUAUCAACUUUCGAUGUUUGGGUAUUGGCCAAACAUGGUUGCAACGGGUAACGGAGGGUUAGGGCUCGACCCCGGAGAAGGAGCCUGAGAAACGGCUACUACAUCCAAGGAAGGCAGCAGGCGCGCAAAUUACCCAAUCCCGACACGGGGAGGUAGUGACAAUAAAUACUGAUACAGGGCUCUUUUGGGUCUUGUAAUUGGAAUGAGUACAAUUUAAAUCCCUUAACGAGGAACAAUUGGAGGGCAAGUCUGGUGCCAGCAGCCGCGGUAAUUCCAGCUCCAAUAGCGUAUAUUAAAGUUGUUGUGGUUAAAAAGCUCGUAGUUGAACCUUGGGCCUGGCUGGCCGGUCCGCCUCACCGCGUGUACUGGUCCGGCCGGGCCUUUCCCUCUGUGGAACCUCAUGCCCUUCACUGGGUGUGACGGGGAAACAGGACUUUUACUUUGAAAAAAUUAGAGUGCUCCAGGCAGGCCUAUGCUCGAAUACAUUAGCAUGGAAUAAUAAAAUAGGACGUGUGGUUCUAUUUUGUUGGUUUCUAGGACCGCCGUAAUGAUUAAUAGGGACAGUCGGGGGCAUCAGUAUUCAAUUGUCAGAGGUGAAAUUCUUGGAUUUAUUGAAGACUAACUACUGCGAAAGCAUUUGCCAAGGAUGUUUUCAUUAAUCAGGAACGAAAGUUAGGGGAUCGAAGACGAUCAGAUACCGUCGUAGUCUUAACCAUAAACUAUGCCGACUAGGGAUCGGACGAUGUUAUUUUUUGACGCGUUCGGCACCUUACGAGAAAUCAAAGUGCU
Molecule: ribosomal RNA, 1027 nt
Filed under: Parengyodontium album
Lineage: Eukaryota; Fungi; Ascomycota; Sordariomycetes; Hypocreales; Cordycipitaceae
Description: SSU rRNA
Rfam family: Eukaryotic small subunit ribosomal RNA
Source: RNAcentral